This 497-nucleotide ribosomal RNA is filed under the name uncultured bacterium. RNAcentral describes it as "partial 16S ribosomal RNA". It matches the Rfam family "Bacterial small subunit ribosomal RNA", at positions 28 to 507 of the family's 1533-position model. The record is from RNAcentral.
GAUGAACGCUGGCGGCGUGCCUAAUACAUGCAAGUCGAGCGAACAGACGAGGAGCUUGCUCCUCUGACGUUAGCGGCGGACGGGUGAGUAACACGUGGAUAACCUACCUAUAAGACUGGGAUAACUUCGGGAAACCGGAGCUAAUACCGGAUAACAUGUUGAACCGCAUGGUUCAACAGUGAAAGACGGUCUUGCUGUCACUUAUAGAUGGAUCCGCGCCGCAUUAGCUAGUUGGUAAGGUAACGGCUUACCAAGGCAACGAUGCGUAGCCGACCUGAGAGGGUGAUCGGCCACACUGGAACUGAGGCACGGUCCAGACUCCUACGGGAGGCAGCAGUAGGGAAUCUUCCGCAAAGGGCGAAAUCCUGGCGGAGCAACGCCGCGUGAGUGAAGAAGGUCUUCGGAUCGUAAAACUCUGUUAUUAGGGAAGAACAAAUGUGUAAGUAACUAUGCACGUCUUGACGGUACCUAAUCAGAAAGCCACGGCUAACUACGUG